CGAUUUAAGUAACCUGCCUUUAAGACGAGGAUAACAAAUGGAAACAUUUGCUAAGACUGGAUAGGAAACAAGAAGGCAUCUUUUUGUUUUUAAAAGACCUCCUAAAAAAAGGUAUGCUUAAAGAGGGGCUUGCGCCACAUUAGUUUGUUGGUAAGGUAAUGGCUUACCAAGACUAUGAUGUGUAGCUGGACUGAGAGGUUGAACAGCCACAUUGGGACUGAGACACGGCCCAAACUCCUACGGGAGGCAGCAGUAGGGAAUUUUCGGCAAUGGAGGAAACUCUGACCGAGCAAUGCCGCGUGAACGAUGAAGUAUUUCGGUAUGUAAAGUUCUUUUAUUGAAGAAGAAAAAUAGUGGAAAAACUAUCUUGACGCUAUUCAAUGAAUAAGCCCCGGCUAACUAUGUGCCAGCAGCCGCGGUAAGACAUAGGGGGCGAGCGUUAUCCGGAAUUAUUGGGCGUAAAGGGUGCGUAGGCGGUUAGUUAAGUCUAUAAUUUAAUUUCAACGCUUAACGUUGUUUUGUUAUAGAAACUGCCUAACUAGAGUGAGAUAGAGGCAAGUGGAAUUCCAUGUGUAGCGGUAAAAUGUGUAAAUAUAUGGAGGAACACCAGAAGCGUAGGCGGCUUGCUGGGUCUUUACUGACGCUGAGGCACGAAAGCGUGGGUAGCAAACAGGAUUAGAUACCCUGGUAGUCCACGCCGUAAACGAUGAGUACUAAGUGUCAGGGUAAAACUUGGUACUGAAGUUAACACAUUAAGUACUCCGCCUGAGUAGUACGUACGCAAGUAUGAAACUUAAAGGAAUUGACGGGACUCCGCACAAGCGGUGGAUCAUGUUGUUUAAUUCGGAGAUACACGAAAAACCUUACCAGGUCUUGACAUACUCUGCAAAGUUAUAGAAAUAUAAUGGAGGUUAUCAGGGAUACAGGUGGUGCAUGGUUGUCGUCAGCUCGUGUCGUGAGAUGUUAAGGUUAAGUCCUAAAACGAGCGCAACCCUUGUCGUUAGUUACCAGCACGUAAAGGUGGGGACUUUAGCGAGACUGCCAAUUAAAAAUUGGGAGGAAGGUGAAGGAUUACCGUCAAAUCAUCAUGCCCCUUAUGAUCUGGGCUACAAACGUGAUACAAUGGCUGUUACAAAGAGUAGCUGAAACGUGAGUUUUUAGCCAAUCUCAAAAAAGCAGCCUCAGUUCGGAUUGAAGUCUGCAACUCGACUUCAUGAAGUUGGAAUCGCUAGUAAUCGCGAAUCAGCAUGUCGCGGUGAAUACGUUCUCGGGGUUUGUACACACCGCCCGUCAAACCAUGGAAGUGGACAAUACCCAAAAGCAGUGGCUUAAUUUCGUAAGAAAAGGGAACUGUCUAAGGUAGGGUCGAUGAUUGGGGUUAAGAAUCACUAGUG
Molecule: ribosomal RNA, 1394 nt
Filed under: Candidatus Phytoplasma luffae
Lineage: Bacteria; Bacillati; Mycoplasmatota; Mollicutes; Acholeplasmatales; Acholeplasmataceae
Description: bacterial SSU rRNA
Rfam family: Bacterial small subunit ribosomal RNA
Source: RNAcentral